Non-coding RNA from Oryza glumipatula, 193 nucleotides. NCBI's taxonomy places the organism in Eukaryota, Viridiplantae, Streptophyta, Magnoliopsida, Poales, Poaceae. The record is from Rfam.
UUUAAGUGUAAGUGCCUAACUUUGAUCAUUCGUCUUAUUUGAAUUUCUUUUAUAAUUAUUAUUUUUAUUAUUAUGAGAUGACAAAACAUAAAUAGUAUUUUAUACGUGAUUUAUGUUUUAAAUUUUUUUCAAAAAUUUUUCAUAUAAGACGAACGGUCAAAGUUAUGCCCGGAAAAUCAUAGUUGCAUUUAAA